RNAcentral lists this ribosomal RNA (447 nucleotides) under uncultured bacterium. RNAcentral's name for it is "bacterial SSU rRNA". It matches the Rfam family "Bacterial small subunit ribosomal RNA", at positions 355 to 825 of the family's 1533-position model. The record is from RNAcentral.
UAGGGAAUCUUGGACAAUGGGCGCAAGCCUGAUCCAGCCAUGCCGCGUGAGUGAAGAAGGCCUUCGGGUUGUAAAGCUCUUUUACCAGGGACGAUAAUGACGGUACCUGGAGAAUAAGCCCCGGCAAACUUCGUGCCAGCAGCCGCGGUAAUACGAAGGGGGCUAGCGUUGUUCGGAAUUACUGGGCGUAAAGCGCACGUAGGCGGAUUGUUAAGUCAGAGGUGAAAUCCCGGAGCUCAACUUCGGAACUGCCUUUGAUACUGGCAAUCUAGAGUCCGGAAGAGGUUAGUGGAAUUCCCAGUGUAGAGGUGAAAUUCGUAGAUAUUGGGAAGAACACCAGUGGCGAAGGCGGCUAACUGGUCCGGUACUGACGCUGAGGUGCGAAAGCGUGGGGAGCAAACAGGAUUAGAUACCCAAGUAGUCCCUGAGCGGGCUGGCAAGGCGCAU